This 1293-nucleotide ribosomal RNA is filed under the name human gut metagenome. RNAcentral's name for it is "bacterial SSU rRNA". It matches the Rfam family "Bacterial small subunit ribosomal RNA", at positions 8 to 1386 of the family's 1533-position model. The record is from RNAcentral.
AGAGUUUGAUCCUGGCUCAGGAUGAACGCUAGCGAUAGGCUUAACACAUGCAAGUCGAGGGGCAGCGCGAGGUAGCAAUACUUUGGCGGCGACCGGCGCACGGGUGCGUAACACGUAUGUAACUUACCUCUUACAAUCGGAUAACACGGUGAAAGUCGUGCUAAUACGGUAUAGUUUCGCAAGCUCGCAUGGGCAUGCGAAUAAAGAUUCAUCGGUAAGAGAUAGACAUGCGGUCCAUUAGAUAGUUGGUGAGGUAACGGCUCACCAAGUCGACGAUGGAUAGGGGGACUGAGAGGUUGACCCCCCACACUGGUACUGAGACACGGACCAGACUCCUACGGGAGGCAGCAGUGAGGAAUAUUGGUCAAUGGGCGAGAGCCUGAACCAGCCAAGUCGCGUGAAGGAAGACGGUUCAUAAGGAUUGUAAACUUCUUUUGCAGAGGAGUAACGAUAGGCACGUGUGCCUAUGUGAACGUACUCUGCGAAUAAGUAUCGGCUAACUCCGUGCCAGCAGCCGCGGUAAUACGGAGGAUACGAGCGUUAUCCGGAAUUAUUGGGUUUAAAGGGUGCGUAGGUGGCUAUUUAAGUCAGGGGUGAAAAGCAUGAGCUCAACUCAUGUCUUGCCUUUGAAACUGGACAGCUAGAGAAAAGACGAGGUAUGUGGAAUGUGUGGUGUAGCGGUGAAAUGCAUAGAUAUCACACAGAACUCCGAUUGCGCAGGCAGCGUACCAGACUUCUUCUGACACUGAAGCACGAAAGCGUGGGGAUCAAACAGGAUUAGAUACCCUGGUAGUCCACGCAGUAAACGAUGAAUACUAGUUUUUUGCGAUAUACGGUAAGAGACUAAGCGAAAGCGAUAAGUAUUCCACCUGGGGAGUACGCCGGCAACGGUGAAACUCAAAGGAAUUGACGGGGGCCCGCACAAGCGGAGGAACAUGUGGUUUAAUUCGAUGAUAUGUCGUCAGCUCGUGCCGUGAGGUGUUUGCUUAAGUGCAAUAACGAGCGCAACCCGCGUUGAUAGUUACUAACAGGUUAAGCUGAGGACUCUAUCGAGACAGCCGUCGUAAGACGAGAGGAAGGUGCGGAUGACGUCAAAUCAGCACGGCCCUUACAUCCGGGGCGACACACGUGUUACAAUGGCAGGGACAAAAGGAAGCGACAUAGCGAUAUGAAGCAGAUCCCAAAACCCUGCCCCAGUUCGGAUCGGAGUCUGCAACUCGACUCCGUGAAGCCGGAUUCGCUAGUAAUCGCGCAUCAGCCAUGGCGCGGUGAAUACGUUCCCGGGCCUUGUAC